RNAcentral lists this non-coding RNA (143 nucleotides) under Ctenophora environmental sample. The record is from RNAcentral. Lineage: Eukaryota; Metazoa; Ctenophora.
UUGUUUAUGUUUGUUUUUUUUGCCUUUUUUCAGUGUUUUUAAUUUUUUUUUUUUUUUUUUUUUUUGGUCUUUGUUUUCAGUUGCGCUCAAGAAGUGAGAUUUUAAAAAAAAAAAACAGACAAAAGGAAUUUUGAUUUCAAGCU